Molecule: ribosomal RNA, 264 nt
Filed under: Triticum aestivum (bread wheat)
Lineage: Eukaryota; Viridiplantae; Streptophyta; Magnoliopsida; Poales; Poaceae
Description: partial small subunit ribosomal RNA
Source: RNAcentral
AUGAGGCACUAUUUUGUGGAGAAUCCCACAUACCCGGAGUCGUACUUCCGUCGCCGGUUUAGGAUGAGCACCGAGUUGUUCAGGCGCAUUGCAGAGAAACUAGCGAGCCAUGACCGGUUUUUUCAGCAAAGGAGGAAUGCCGCCGGAGAGCUCGGGCAUAGCACCUUUCAGAAGGUGACAGUCGCCACUACAAAAAAAAGACACAUCCGUGACAUUUUGGGCCGAACGAAUUUUUUUUCUAUCAUACAUAUGACACUUCUAUGA